This 449-nucleotide ribosomal RNA is filed under the name uncultured bacterium. RNAcentral's name for it is "partial 16S ribosomal RNA". It matches the Rfam family "Bacterial small subunit ribosomal RNA", at positions 29 to 523 of the family's 1533-position model. The record is from RNAcentral.
AACGAACGCUGGCGGCAUGCCUAACACAUGCAAGUCGAACGAGAUCUUCGGGUCUAGUGACGCACGGGUGCGUAACGCGUGGGAAUCUGCCCUUUGGUUCGGAAUAACAGUUGGAAACGACUGCUAAUACCGGAUGAUGACGAAAGUCCAAAGAUUUAUCGCCAGAGGAUGAGCCCGCGUAGGAUUAGCUAGUUGGUGUGGUAAAGGCGCACCAAGGCGACGAUCCUUAGCUGGUCUGAGAGGAUGAUCAGCCACACUGGGACUGAGACACGGCCCAGACUACUACGGGAGGCAGCAGUGGGGAAUAUUGGACAAUGGGCGAAAGCCUGAUCCGGCAAUGCCGCGUGAGUGAUGAAGGCCUUAGGGUUGUAAAGCUCUUUUACACGGGAUGAUAAUGACAGUACCGGGAGAAUAAGCUCCGGCUAACUCCGUGCCAGCCGCCGCGGUAA